RNAcentral lists this transfer RNA (72 nucleotides) under Candidatus Vidania fulgoroideorum. RNAcentral's name for it is "tRNA-Gly". It matches the Rfam family "tRNA". From Rfam's summary of the family: Transfer RNA (tRNA) molecules are approximately 80 nucleotides in length. Their secondary structure includes four short double-helical elements and three loops (D, anti-codon, and T loops). Further hydrogen bonds mediate the characteristic L-shaped molecular structure. tRNAs have two regions of fundamental functional importance: the anti-codon, which is responsible for specific mRNA codon recognition, and the 3' end, to which the tRNAs corresponding amino acid is attached (by aminoacyl-tRNA synthetases). tRNAs cope with the degeneracy of the genetic code in two manners: having more than one tRNA (with a specific anti-codon) for a particular amino acid; and 'wobble' base-pairing, i.e. permitting non-standard base-pairing at the 3rd anti-codon position. The record is from RNAcentral. Lineage: Bacteria; Pseudomonadati; Pseudomonadota; Betaproteobacteria.
GCAAAGAUAGCUUAAUGGUAGAGUUUAAUCUUGCCAAGGUUACUGAUGUGAGUUCGAAUCUCAUUCUUUGCU